CCUUGCUCUUCCAACUGUCAUUCUGGUCCUGCCAGUCAACUUUAGAAUUCCAAAAUCCUCCAACUCCAUCUUAACAAGGGGAAGAAUAUUAUUAUUAGAAGGAGAGGAAGAGAGUGCUAAAAGUCCUAUGAUAACCCAGAUCUUCUCCAUUGUCAGAAUCAUGCCCAAAUUCAUACCUGUUGUAUUCUUCUGGAUCAGCACCUUCAGUUUGAUCUUCACAAUGAAGACCAUCAUAAGCCUCUUCCUCCUUUCCUUUGUCUUGACUGUCAACAGUCAGAAUGAAGCUAGAAAGUGGUUUGGUGAAGUUAUAAUGGGGAUUCCACAUUUAAAAGCAACAUCCAGAAAGAUGAUGCUGCAGGCCGAUGCUUCCAUUAAUCUGUUUAGUACACAAAUGGCAGGAACCUUGACUCCUAAGCUGGCUUUGCUCCUUGAUAACUCCUCUACAUAGCUUGUGAGCUUCUCCUGGAGUAACCCUUCUUCCUUGCUCCCCCAACCUACUAUUGCAUGUUGCAUUUAAUAAACAUCAGUGCUGAACAUAAACUUUCCUUAAU
Molecule: long non-coding RNA, 551 nt
Filed under: Monodelphis domestica (gray short-tailed opossum)
Lineage: Eukaryota; Metazoa; Chordata; Mammalia; Didelphimorphia; Didelphidae
Description: lncRNA (ENSMODG00000032148.2)
Source: RNAcentral